CCGAGGGCCGGUCUGAGCUCUCUGACUCCCCCCCACACACACACAGACACACGGGGCCGUGCGGUGAGGACCCAUCACUGAUCGAUCAAUACAUCCAUCUGUCCGACACACCUGCCCUCCUCCGGGGGAACGCUCCACAGGGUUCAGACGUUUGACGGACAGAUGAAUGGCGCACUGGACCUCAGGUCACGUUAUCCAUUAAAAUACCUUCACUAUAUCAGAACGUAUUUCUGAUAUAGUGAAGGUAUUUUUCAGGUAUGAACUUGUUUCAGAGGUGAAAGGAAAUGCUGAAAUUGUUCAGGUUUCGAUCAGCCAAUCAGGUGAAAAUACGAACCAUCGUGUGGACCCGCCCACCAACAGGAUUCAAGCCACUCAAUUGGACGACACUGUUUCCACUCUUUAUUUACAAGUCCAUUAAAACAAGAGGACAACUUCAGUUUGGACAUGAAAUUAUAUUUCAGAUAUGACACUUUGUGAUCUGUGAUUUAGGGAUGAAAAUGUUACCAAGUGUGGAUUUUCCAUCACAUAUCUUUAACCCUUUGACAUAACAAGCUGAAGUGUCUGAAAUAUAAGCCCGGCACAGACGGGACUGACGACAAGACUGCAGACUGGGAGUUUCCCCUCACGUGUUUCUUGUUGGUGGCUUUGCUGGGCUGAGUCCAGAGACCGACUGGUGUCCCUUCGGUCAGGUCAUUUCCACAGUAAAACUACAUCCACACAAAACGUUCAGUCUACAGGAAACAUCUUUUCCUCUUGAAACACACUUUUAUCCUGAGCCUCCUCCUGUGGACACAAACUUUAAAUAAAUCAAUGUUAAGCUUCAGGUUGCAUAUUUCACCAUCCAGGAUUCACCACAAUCGUGUUCACGACAACACAAUACAACCAGCCUGCAUUCACAGAGAGAAAACUAAUGGAGACAUUUCACAUCAUUAAAAAUUCAGAUGACAGAAUAUUAGAUUUGUAUGUCAGACCUCAGCUGUUUUAAUUAUGGCAUCUGUUCUGAGACUAAUUAUGACAGAACUGCAUCAUAAUUACAAAAAAAUCUCUAAACGAGACGACAAGAUGAUAACCAGGUGAAAAUGAUUUCAUAGUGAGGGGCAAGCCGUCUCGUGAGACCACAUGAUAUCAGCCUGGUAACAGGGCUGAGUUGUUGGACGCACAGCGAGGCGAACCCGACCAGGAGAUCUUCGCUGACACCGUCUUGCUUGUAUAAAACGUUUAAUAAAAGAAGCACAGCAUCAGGUACAUGCAUGUGAGUGGAUCCAGGCCAAAUGAAGACCACUCUGCUGAAAUGUCUCUAGUUAUAUGCUUAUAUAGAUUAAAUGUUUACUUAAAGACAGAAGGAUACAUCUGGAAAUUGACCCAUGACCUUUCCAAUCACCAGGAAAUGUGGGAGAAGGACCAUCUUCCUCUUCCCUAUAUACUUUUGGACCUUUGGGGCCCCAGGAAAGCAUCACUGCACUACUCUACAAAUACCAUGUCAAUCAUACUAAUCUCCAGAUACUACACUGAACGUCAGAUACAGAGGAGUUCGUGUUUGUCACCGAGAGGCUGAUCACACCUGUUUGAACACCAAACAGGUGACAUCAGACAGGUGUUGAUGCCAGGUGUGAACAACCUCCCUCUUUCAGUGUGUUCUCAGUUUCAUCAGGGUGAGUUAGUUUUUCAUGAUAAUGAAGAAUUCAUUUUUAAAAACAAAACUGAAACGCAACUUUUUCAUAGUUUCAAAGUUUAUGUUUUCUAAAAGCAGAAAUCAGAGUUUUAUCAUACUUAGAAAACUUGAAUUUAUUCAAGGAGAUCUGAGGAAUCCCGUGAGACAUGGGACUGGGAGGAAAGCCUGGACAGAAACAUGCACAGGUGACAGGUGUGUACAGACGCAUGGACCUGAGGACACACACGUUUGGCUUUUGUUUGCACUGAUACAGUAAAUGUUGUAGAGUGAACAGAGUCAAUCUGAGGAGUCUUACGAGAAGAAAAAGCAACACUGACUCACCCCAAAACAUGAACCUGAUGUAAAACCUGAACUCCAGUCAAAUCAGAAUAAAAACUGACAUUUCAGUAUUCACCUGAUAUUUACAAAAGCAUCCUGGUGUCAGGAAGAUCAUGUGACACAGCUGAUGGUUAACUACCUCAAAAUUUAUUUGUUACUGAUCAGGCGAAGGAUAAGCUGAGAGAAGACUGAAUCAUGUGAUCAGAUCAGUCACGUUGUUAGUGAAUCUGUGCAAACAUGCAGGUUAACUGGAGACUACAGCUGCAGACAGCUGCAGACAUAGAUGGGUUCCAUGCGUGCACAUAUAGAGAGAAGAUGGAUUCUGGUUUGUUUGUUUGACUGAACAAGAAGAAAAUGUCCAUGAGUUCAGUCCAUAGGGAUGCUGUCACUGAGUUUGGGAGGUGGCCACACCAAAGCAGUGCCCCUGGAUGUCAGACAAGGGAAGACAACAAAAACUGGGGCACGGACUCAUGUGCCAAUCUGUAUGCAGCUACCUGUGCAGGUGCACUUCAGUGCAAAGUGCCCAGUGUGAGCUGGGACAGGUUGCUGUCCCUCAGGACCCACACCAGGUGUGGCGGACAAAUAAAGUUUACACCAAGUGAGAUGUGAUGGCUCUGAUGUAGCUGAACUGGGGGCAAACGGACUGUACUGGUGCUGAUGGACGAUUUGGUCAUUAAUGUUGUGCUUCUUUAUUUUAGUGAUCUUUCAUUGUGCUUCUGUGCUGUUGGCUGGUGGUGUGAUGAGCUGCUCAGCCAGCAGAGGGCAGCGUUGGUCCAAUGAGUCCUCCUCCUGUCAGACUGUACUGACCUCUGACCCUUGACCUUCCCUCUGUUCUGUGUGUUUGUCCUUUAUCCUUCUGUGGGCUCCGUUGCUAUGGGCUGCCUGGUCUGCAUGCUGGGUUGCUAUGGUAAUGCUGUUAAGCAGAGUAAUAGUAAUAAAGUCUAUUUACAGCAAAGACUUCAUUAACUGAG
Long non-coding RNA from Scatophagus argus, 2961 nucleotides. RefSeq lists it as uncharacterized. The transcript is spliced from 3 exons. The record is from RefSeq and is a predicted model, not a curated record. Lineage: Eukaryota; Metazoa; Chordata; Actinopteri; Scatophagidae.